This 253-nucleotide ribosomal RNA is filed under the name uncultured bacterium. Its description in RNAcentral is "partial 16S ribosomal RNA". It matches the Rfam family "Bacterial small subunit ribosomal RNA", at positions 524 to 776 of the family's 1533-position model. The record is from RNAcentral.
GACGAACCUUGCAAACGUUAUUCGGAAUCACUGGGCUUAAAGGGUGCGUAGGCGGCGCGGUAAGUCGGGUGUGAAAUCUUGGAGCUUAACUCCGAAACUGCAUUCGAUACUGCCGUGCUUGAGGACUGGAGAGGAGACUGGAAUUUACGGUGUAGCGGUGAAAUGCGUAGAUAUCGUAAGGAAGACCAGUGGCGAAGGCGGGUCUCUGGACAGUGCCUGACGCUGAGGCACGAAGGCCAGGGGAGCAAACGGG